RNAcentral lists this transfer RNA (88 nucleotides) under Patescibacteria group bacterium. RNAcentral's name for it is "tRNA-Tyr". It matches the Rfam family "tRNA". From Rfam's summary of the family: Transfer RNA (tRNA) molecules are approximately 80 nucleotides in length. Their secondary structure includes four short double-helical elements and three loops (D, anti-codon, and T loops). The record is from RNAcentral.
GCUGAGUUGGCAGAGUAGUCAAUUGCUCGUGACUGUAGAUCACGCGGCUUAACGGCCUACGGGAGUGCAAAUCUCUCACUCAGCACCA